AUUGAACGCUGGCGGCAGGCUUAACACAUGCAAGUCGAGCGAGCGGCGGACGGGUGAGUAAUGUCUGGGAAACUGCCUGAUGGAGGGGGAUAACUACUGGAAACGGUCGCUAAUACCGCAUACCAUCAGAUGUGCCCAGAUGGGCUUAGCUAGUUGGUGGGGUAAUGGCUCACCAAGGCGACGAUCCCUAGCUGGUCUGAGAGGAUGACCAGCCACACUGGAACUGAGACACGGUCCAGACGCCUACGGGAGGCAGCAGGGGGGAAUAUUGCACAAGGGGCGCAAGCCUGAUGCAGCCAUGCCGCGUGUAUGAAGAAGGCCUUCGGGUUGUAAAGUACUUUCAGCGAGGAGGCGUUACUCGCAGAAGAAGCACCGGCUAACUCCGUGCCAGCAGCCGCGGUAAUAC
RNAcentral lists this ribosomal RNA (406 nucleotides) under uncultured bacterium. RNAcentral describes it as "partial 16S ribosomal RNA". It matches the Rfam family "Bacterial small subunit ribosomal RNA", at positions 30 to 526 of the family's 1533-position model. The record is from RNAcentral.